Molecule: ribosomal RNA, 414 nt
Filed under: uncultured prokaryote
Description: bacterial SSU rRNA
Rfam family: Bacterial small subunit ribosomal RNA
Source: RNAcentral
GUGUCAGCCGCCGCGGUAAGACGGAGGGGGCUAGCGUUGUUCGGAAUUACUGGGCGUAAAGCGCGCGUAGGCGGAUGUGCAAGUUGGAGGUGAAAGCCCGGGGCUCAACCUCGGAAUUGCCUUCAAAACUGCACAUCUAGAGGCCGGGAGAGGGUAGCGGAAUUCCCAGUGUAGAGGUGAAAUUCGUAGAUAUUGGGAAGAACACCGGUGGCGAAGGCGGCUACCUGGACCGGUCCUGACGCUGAGGUGCGAAAGCGUGGGGAGCAAACAGGAGUAGAUACCCUGGUAGUCCACGCCGUAAACGAUGGGUGCUAGCUGUUGGGGAGCCUAGCUCUUCAGUGGCGCAGCUAACGCGUUAAGCACCCCGCCUGGGGAGUACGCUCGCAAGAGUGAAACUUAAAUGAAUUGACGGGG